RNAcentral lists this ribosomal RNA (253 nucleotides) under uncultured bacterium. RNAcentral's name for it is "partial 16S ribosomal RNA". It matches the Rfam family "Bacterial small subunit ribosomal RNA", at positions 524 to 776 of the family's 1533-position model. The record is from RNAcentral.
UACGGAGGAUCCAAGCGUUAUCCGGAUUUAUUGGGUUUAAAGGGUGCGUAGGCGGACCUUUAAGUCAGUGGUGAAAGUUUGCGGCUCAACCGUAAAAUUGCCAUUGAAACUGAAGGUCUUGAGUGUAAAUAAGGUAGGCGGAAUGUGUUGUGUAGCGGUGAAAUGCUUAGAUAUAACACAGAACACCAAUUGCGAAGGCAGCUUACUGGGAUACAACUGACGCUGAGGCACGAAAGCGUGGGGAUCAAACAGG